This 614-nucleotide ribosomal RNA is filed under the name Exophiala salmonis. Its description in RNAcentral is "eukaryotic LSU rRNA". The stretch from base 207 to 361 matches the Rfam family "5.8S ribosomal RNA". Lineage: Eukaryota; Fungi; Ascomycota; Eurotiomycetes; Chaetothyriales; Herpotrichiellaceae. The record is from RNAcentral.
CGGAGGAUCAUUAACGAGUUAGGGUCUCUCUGGCCCGACCUCCCAACCCUUUGUCUACUUGACCAUCGUUGCUUCGGCGAGCCCGUCCUCACGGACCGCCGGAGGGAUCUUUACUGGCCCUCUGGUCCGCGCUCGUCGGUAGCCCAACCUUUAAAAUCUUUAACUAAACGUGCCUUAAUCUAAGUACAAUUAUUAAAUAAAAGCAAAACUUUCAACAACGGAUCUCUUGGUUCUGGCAUCGAUGAAGAACGCAGCGAAAUGCGAUAAGUAAUGCGAAUUGCAGAAUUCCAGUGAGUCAUCGAAUCUUUGAACGCACAUUGCGCCCUUUGGUAUUCCGAAGGGCAUGCCUGUUCGAGCGUCAUUAUCACCCCUCAAGCCCUCGGCUUGGUGUUGGACGGUUUGGUGGAGGCCCCCUCGGGGGCUCCUGCCCCUCCCAAAGACAAUGACGGCGGCCUCGUUGGACCCCCGGUACACUGAGUUCUUCACGGGACACGUAUCGGACACAUGGGUUUACGGGACACGGUCUGCCUCCCCUCAGGGAGAAUCUUUCUAAGGUUGACCUCGGAUCAGGUAGGGAUACCCGCUGAACUUAAGCAUAUCAAUAAGCGGAGGAA